Molecule: ribosomal RNA, 344 nt
Filed under: uncultured fungus
Lineage: Eukaryota; Fungi
Description: SSU rRNA
Rfam family: Eukaryotic small subunit ribosomal RNA
Source: RNAcentral
GGUUCAUUCAAAUUUCUGCCCUAUCAACUUUCGAUGGUAGGAUAGUGGCCUACCAUGGUUUCAACGGGGUAACGGGGAAUAGGGUUCUAUUCCGGAGAGGGAGCCUGAGAAACGGCUACCACAUCCAAGGNAGGCAGCAGGCGCGCAAAUUACCCAAUCCCGACCGGGGAGGUAGUGACAAUAAAUACUGAUACAGGGCUCUUUUGGGUCUUGUAAUUGGAAUGAGUACAAUUUAAAUCCCUUAACGAGGAACAAUUGGAGGGCAAGUCUGGUGCCAGCAGCCGCGGUAAUUCCAGCUCCAAUAGCGUAUAUUAAAGUUGUUGCAGUUAAAAAGCUCGUAGUUG